RNAcentral lists this ribosomal RNA (724 nucleotides) under uncultured archaeon. Its description in RNAcentral is "bacterial SSU rRNA". It matches the Rfam family "Archaeal small subunit ribosomal RNA", at positions 576 to 1301 of the family's 1478-position model. The record is from RNAcentral.
UGCGAGGACGGCCAGACUUGAGACCGGGAGAGGUGUAGGGUACCUGCGGGGUAGGGGUAAAAUCCUGUCAUCCCGUAGGGACCACCUGUUGCGAAGGCGCUACACUAGAACGGAUCUGACGGUCAGGGACGAAGCCUAGGGGCACGAACCGGAUUAGAUACCCGGGUAGUCCUAGGUGUAAACGCUGUGGACUUGGUGUCGGGGAUCUCUAGAGGAUUCUCGGUGCCGUAGUGAAGAUGUUUAGUCCACUGCCUGGGGAGUACGGUCGCAAGGCUGAAACUUAAAGGAAUUGGCGGGGGAGCACUGCAACGAGAGGAGCGUGCGGUUUAAUUGGAUUCAACGCCGGAAAACUCACCAAAGCCGACUGUUAGAUGAGGACCAGCGUAAUGAGCUUGUCGGAUUUUCAGAGAGGUAGUGCAUGGCCGUCGUCAGUUCGUACCGUAAGGCGUUCUGUUAAGUCAGAUAACGAACGAGACCCCUAUCGUCAUUUGCUAACCCUUUCUCCGGAAAGGGCGCACUAUGGCGAGAUCGCUGGCGUGAAGUCAGAUGAGAGCGGGGGCAACGGUAGGUCAGUAUGCUCCGAAUGCUUUGGGCUACACGCGCGCUACAAAGGACGGGACAAUGGGCAGCUACACCGAGAGGUGACGCUAUCCCGAAACCCGUUCGUAGUUCGGAUCGUGGGCUGUAACUCGCCCUCGUGAAGCUGGAUUUCGGUAGUAAUCGC